This is an RNA transcript of Daucus carota subsp. sativus, 4491 nucleotides long. It is a transcript of the gene named probable nucleoredoxin 1, with no coding region annotated. The transcript has 2 exons. Lineage: Eukaryota; Viridiplantae; Streptophyta; Magnoliopsida; Apiales; Apiaceae. The record is from RefSeq and is a predicted model, not a curated record.
AAAAAAUACUGUAAAAUAACAAUUGUGUUUUUUGUUAUACCGAAAUUAGGGUUUGGCGCGCUCCAGAGAGCUACUAGCCAAGAAAAUCGAAGUGGGCUGCCUCUAAUUUGCAAGAAAAGCUUCAAAGGUUUGAUCUUUUUGCUAUUCAAGAACCCCUUUUGUUAAAUUACACAAUGCUUUGUUAUUUAUACAAAAAUGUGCUCAAGAACUGUGUUAAUGCAUCUUUGAAAACACGCCCUUUGUGCUCUUACUCAGAGAAGGUGAGAGCUGAUAUAAUUGCGAGAAAGUAUAGAUCUUUUGAGUCUAUUUUUAAGAGUUAUGGGUUUAGUGAAACUCAAGUUUAUGUCCUUUUAAGCAAGAGGCCAUCACUUUUGUAUAUGGACAAAGAUGGGCAUAUAAUACCCAAGUUGGAGUUUUUUAGGGAAAAGGGGUUUUCGUCGUCUGAUCUUUGUCAUAUACUUGGGUUAGACCCGGAGAUUAUGAGGCGUAAUAUGUAUAAUUUGAUAAUACCGUCUUUUGAGUUUUUGAGGAGUGUUUUGAAAGAUGAUGCUAGUGUGAUUUAUGCGGUUAGGAGGUGUACUUGGCUACUUAAGCUAGAUUUAGGAAAAUUUUUAAGGCCGAAUAUUGAAUUGUUGCGAAGUUAUGGAGUACCGAAUGAUAGGAUUGCGGCAAUGUUGAGGCUUCAUCCGAGGGGAAUGUUGCUGAAUGCUGAUGGGUUUAGAAUGGUGGUUGAGGAAGUUACAGAAAUGGGAUUUGAGCCGGUAAAGAGUCAAUUUGUUAAGGCAUGUCAAGUAAAACUUGGAUUGAGCGAAACAAUGUGGAAGAGGAAAUGGGAUUGCUUUAAGAAGUGGGGUUGGUCAGAUGAUGAGAUUCGUUCUGCUUUUAUGAAGCAGCCUAGUAUUAUGGCAGUUUCGGAGAAGAAGGUAGAAAAGGUGAUGGAAUUUUUGGUUAACAAAAUGAGAUGGGAGAUAUCGAAGGUUGCAUCUUGUCCUGCUGUUAUUAUGCAUAGCUUGGAGAAUUGGACUAAACCGCGGUGUUUGCUUAUUCAAUUUUUGUUGUCAAAAGGGGCGAUAAAAAAGGACUUUCCCUUAAGUACAGUUAUAGUAUCAAUUGAAAGUCGAUUUGUAAAAAAUUAUGUGAAGAAAUACUGUGCAGAAUUUCCUGAAGUGCUAGAACUUUAUGCAAGUUUAAGUUUACAGAAGAACACCCAAGCAGCAGGUCAAGUGAGUUUGUAAUACUAGGGAGAAGAUUCGUUGGUCUCGUCUGCCAUAAGAAACCUGGCACUUGGCUGUGCAGUGUGCACAGAUUGUAUAUAUAACCCUCUUCUUUGUAUGGAAUAUAUUGUUCUUUUAUGUCUAUUAGAAGAGUUAAUCAUGACGAAUAGCAUGAACAAUACGAACAAAGUUUGUGUACCUGGUUCGCAUGCAUUUGAAAUAAAGGUUAAUAGUUAAUUUCUAAUUUCGACAUGGCUCCUUUACUCAUUUGCAGAGCGCGAAAGGUAGUUGGGAUGAAGUAAAUUUUGAAAGAUAGUCCUCCCCGCAGACCUUAUCUGAUAGUUACAGCUGUAUAACUUCGUGGUUUUCAUGCUGUUGAAGUUCGAUGUUCAAUCUGUUGUUUUAUACUUUCUGCCUGUGCAUUACCAUGUUGAUAUAAAUCCUCCUGAUAAGGUGUUCAAAGAGUUCUUGAUAGACACUUAUAAUGAUUUAAAGUCUAAAAACUGCUUUGAAGUUGUGAUGGUUGUCGAUGAGGUCAAUAGCUUCGAUGGAGAACGUGGGCAACUAUGUGGUGAUCUGACUCCUCAAGGGAAAUUUGAAGAUAUAGUUUCUAAAUUUCCAUCAUGGGCUGCCAUACCAUUCUCAGAUACAACAUCUAGAAAGCGUCUAAAAAGUAGAUUUGGUCACGUGGGCAAAUUACGUAGCCCUGGGAUGGUUCUCAUUGAUAUUGCCCUUGAUUCAACAGAAGGCUUGGUUUUGGACACUUUGUCUCACAAACUAUUUCAGACUUAUGGAACUGAGGCUUAUCCUUUCAGCCAUGACAGGUUUUCGACUCUGAAGGCCAAAGACAAAAUGGCCUUUAGCCAACACUCCUUGAAAGAACUUCUAGGCUCCUCGGAACGUGAUUUUGUCAUCUCAAACAAAGGAGAGGAGGUAUGAAUGUAAUUAUUAUUUAACACUUUAAUUGAUCCUUAACUGUUGGGAAAGUCAAUCUCAUUAGCAACAAGUUUCAAAUCCAACUAUCAAAUAUGGUUACAAAAAGGUUUGUGAGAUCUUGAAUUAGUAUGUUGAUCACUUGAUCAUUGGAAAUAAUUCUCUCUUUAAAGCAUUCAUUAAUGUUUUUGGCCCUCUGGAUUUUCUUUUCUUAAUUAUUUUUUGAAUAAAAAGCUAAAAUUUUAAAAUCUGCUGCAUGUAGUUUUGUUUUCAUCACGUAUACAAUAUAUGUAUGUGACUGAUUAAUAUUGACACUUCUCAUUUUCUUGAUCCUAAUAGAAAAGAUUUACUGGUCAAACUACUCCAUAGAUUUAGCAAUUAUACAUUCAUACUACCUGUGUCUAUGUGUGUGUUUAUGACUUGUGCAGCUUGCCUCAGAGCCUCUCUCUUAGGCUCUAUUAUAGUCUAGCGCCUAGGCGCCCUCUUGCCUAUAAUAAAAAUAAAAACGUGUGAUUAGAACACUGCAUUGAUAACAGUUUAAUGAAUAUUUUAUUUUAAAAAGUAUUGAGCAUAUUAAGAAGUGGAUACACAGUAUUUUGCCAAAAUAUCCAAAUUGAAUAAUAUUGAUUAGUGUAGUCAAUACUUUUUUAUUUUUUAUAUCGUGCAUGACAUUGUGGUGGAGUAGAGUGGGAUGUAGAGCAGUUUUGGAGGGUACUGGAUGAUGAGUGACUGAGGAUAUCUUUUGAAAAGAGGGUUGAGAGGCAAAUAAAUGAUUACCUCAAAUUUCAUAUAAGCUUAUAGUCCUAUCAUUAACUGAGUGGGAAAAAAGUGACAUCACGAAAAUUACAGGGAGAUAUAGCAAAACAAUUUUUCAGAAUAUAAUUGGCUUUUAAUCUAUUUUUUUAACAUAAGUUUUUUAUAAUGAUCAUGAAAACGAGUUUAAAGAUGCGUCGGGAAUUGAUGCUGAAGUUCCCAACAGCUUAGGAAUUAGAAGAAGUAUUUUCCCUGUUUCGUUAAUUAUCCUAUUGGACUAUGUAAUAACUUAGUUAUUUCAUUUGCACAUUAUCAUUAUGAAUUUAGAUAAACAUCUAAAUGAUGCACUAAGAUACUGCCUACUUUUGAUGAUAGAUUCCUAUUCACACUCUUAAAGAUAAGGUGGUAGCCCUAUAUUUUUAUGAAGAGCCUGAUUGCCUUACAAAAAAAUUAAUGAUGUAUUAUAAUGAAUUAAAAACGAAGAAUCAAAACUUUGAGCUUGUGCUACUUUACCUGUCUGACACACAUAAAACUACUGGUUCGACGAAAGAAAAUUUCCAAAAAACUUUUGAGACUAUGCCUUGGUUGGUGCUGCCGUUUAAAGACCCGGUCCUUAAGAAGUUGAAAAGGCUUUUUGGUUAUCCUGAUGGGGGGAGUUGCUUUGAUGCCGGACCUUCUCUUGUUCUUGUUGGGCCUCGUAAAAAUGUCAUUGGUUGUGGCGAUAUCAUUGAACCAGGUCCUGCCAGCAUCUUUAGAGAAUAUUAUGACGGAGAUCUAUUCUCGCGUGAGGAAUUUGCCAAAAUAGAGAGGGGGAGAGUCGGGGAACUGAAGUUGGAGAUGUUAUGUAGUCCAAAUACCUUCUUCAAAAGUAAAGAUGGGUCCCAGGUUCAAUUUUCUCAACUUGCGGGGAAGAGAAUCAUAUUUUUGUUUGAGGGUGAUUAUCCAGAAUAUGAUGGUAUAUGUUUUCGAGGACCACUAUAUUCAGCGUAUAUGGAUUCAAAGGGAACUGCUAAUGAAUUUGAAGUUAUAUAUUUUCCCAAUACCAAAGAAAUAAAUGACAAGAGGUUUGCAGAUAUGCCAUGGUUGAUUUCAUGUCCAGUUGAGUUGUUACCCGGUGGGUCUGAUAUUCUUUCUUUUUAUGGUAAUAGCUACAACCGAUAUCAUUCUUCUUUACUUCUUGCCUUUGGUCGAGAUGGAAGCCUCGUUAGAAAGAACGAUAUGUCCGUGGUUCGGGGAUUAUUAUUUUCCCUUUUACAGUGAUGAAGUUGCUUCAGAGGCAUUUGAUAUAGAGAAUAGCGAUUUCUGCUGGGGCUUUUGGGACACGCUUUAUCAGGGUGUGCUGAAAAGCAGCACUCGUUUUAAAUUUCUGAGUGCGAACCACCUCUUUUCUUUUUAUUAUUACAGAGUUUAUUAGUAGCAGCAUAGAAUCUGUUCAGCACACCUCAAAACCUCCCUCCCUCUACGUAUUGUAUUGUCUGUAUUGGACUUGUGAAUGUGUCUCUCAUCUCUAUCAUCAACUUUACAUUUGAUCACUUGGCUGUAGAGUUGAGGAAGUUACAAGAUUAGAUGGAAUGUGUUUGUUAACUAUUAA